RNAcentral lists this signal recognition particle RNA (99 nucleotides) under Taibaiella sp. RNAcentral describes it as "signal recognition particle sRNA small type". It matches the Rfam family "Bacteroidales small SRP", at positions 9 to 102 of the family's 107-position model. Rfam says of the family: The non-coding component of the signal recognition particle in Bacteroides RNAcentral also lists the same sequence under 2 other names. The record is from RNAcentral. Lineage: Bacteria; Pseudomonadati; Bacteroidota; Chitinophagia; Chitinophagales; Chitinophagaceae.
UGGUAAGUCUUAUACGGCCAGCUCCCGAUGAAUCCCCCAGGACAGGAAUGUAGCAAGGGCGUUUGGUUGUAGCGGUGCGAUGUGAGUAACUUACCAGUU